UACGUAGGUGGCAAGCGUUAUCCGGAUUUAUUGGGUGUGAAGGGCGUGUAGGCGGGAGCGCAAGUCAGAUGUGAAAACUCAGGGCUCAACCCUGAGCCUGCAUUUGAAACUGUGUUUCUUGAGUGCUGGAGAGGCAAUCGGAAUUCCGUGUGUAGCGGUGAAAUGCGUAGAUAUACGGAGGAACACCAGUGGCGAAGGCGGAUUGCUGGACAGUAACUGACGCUGAGGCGCGAAAGCGUGGGGAGCAAACAGG
This 253-nucleotide ribosomal RNA is filed under the name uncultured bacterium. RNAcentral's name for it is "partial 16S ribosomal RNA". It matches the Rfam family "Bacterial small subunit ribosomal RNA", at positions 524 to 776 of the family's 1533-position model. The record is from RNAcentral.